RNAcentral lists this long non-coding RNA (209 nucleotides) under Elaeis guineensis (African oil palm). RNAcentral's name for it is "long non-coding RNA (EGUI_LNC075919)". The record is from RNAcentral. Lineage: Eukaryota; Viridiplantae; Streptophyta; Magnoliopsida; Arecales; Arecaceae.
GACAGGUUCUGCGUACAAGUGUUGGCGUGGGCAGAAGAAAAGAGUCCUUCUGGUAUGGGAUUAAGAUGCAUGUAGUAGCCCAUAUCACCCUCUAUCUUUUGAUUCACAUUUAAAAGUAUGAGAUGUAUUUUUUUAAAAUUUUUGGGAUGGAGAAAAAUUGGAAAAAGGAAGGAAGUCUCGCAUGCACGCACAGAAGUAUCGCAUCUCUC